GGGCGGCGGGGCUUGUCCACCAUCCCUCACCUCCCUCCGCUGGACACUUCCCUUCCACGCUCGGAUGCCCAGCAGCGCCUGUUUUCUUACAUCCCUCCUGUCGUGUCUGCGGGGCUGCCCUGAAGGCCUCCUUCCCUCCAGGGAAGAAAGGGAUCCAAAGCUAGGGGUGAAAAUAGGGCCAGCAAUAUCUAGCAGACUGGUCCUGGCCAGGAGAAGGGGUUAAGGGAGCCACUCAUUCUUCACCUGGGUACCCUUCAAAGAGGAGAACCAGAUCCUACGGGAAGCUAGGUGCCAGAACUCCUGCCUUUCCAAGACGAGAUCAUCCCCAUCAUCACCAUACCAGGAAUACUUGUUCAUAGCCAGCCCAGAGGUGCACCAUACUUUAGCUUCCCAAGGCCUUCACUUGUUCUCUCCUGUGGGUGAAUUCUAACUAGGCUCGCCUGUCACCAAAGAUGGAAACAGAGAAUAGAUCCUAAACACCAGGGAGAUGGUGACGAGGUGAUAGAGAAACAGAUGGCACAUUCAAACAAGGGCCCUGAAGUGAUCCUCCUCCUGUUCACUGACACCCAUUGCCGAGAGAGAGAGAAAAAGAGAGAGAAAGAGAGAGAGAGAAGCAGGAAGAGAGGAGAGGGUGCUGGCCUUAUUAGAGAAAGAA
This is a long non-coding RNA of Symphalangus syndactylus (siamang), 655 nucleotides long. RefSeq lists it as uncharacterized. Lineage: Eukaryota; Metazoa; Chordata; Mammalia; Primates; Hylobatidae. The record is from RefSeq and is a predicted model, not a curated record.